GAGCAGCGCCUGCUGCCUGCUGUGACCUUUGAUGGCAAGGUUAUCCUGGAGCGGAAAGACAAAGUUGCCAUGGCCCCAGACGGCAACGGGGGCCUCUACUGCGCGCUGGAGGACCACAAGAUCCUGGAGGACAUGGAGCGCCGGGGAGUGGAGUUUGUGCACGUGUACUGUGUGGACAACAUCCUGGUGCGGCUGGCAGACCCUGUCUUCAUCGGCUUCUGUGUGUUGCAGGGCGCAGACUGUGGCGCCAAGGUGGUGGAAAAGGCAUACCCCGAGGAGCCCGUGGGCGUGGUGUGCCAGGUGGACGGCGUCCCCCAGGUGGUGGAGUACAGCGAGAUCAGUCCUGAGACCGCACAGCUACGUGCCUCCGACGGCAGCCUGCUGUACAAUGCAGGCAACAUCUGCAACCACUUCUUCACCCGAGGCUUCCUUAAGGCGGUCACUAGGUGUGCGGCAGCAGGUGGCUGCGGAGUGCUGGCCAGAGCCGCCUGCGUUGACCAGGGUCCCGCGGGGUCCCAGUGAGCUGAGUGCCCUGGGCCACAGCGGCUGUGGUCAGGAGUGGCUGUGGUCAGGAGCGGCUGAUGGGUUGGGGUGGAGAAUGGAUCCUGCACUUGCAAAGGCAGAGGUGCUGGAGAUCAGGCACAAGCCGUGCUCAGCAGGCAGCUGCUGUAAGGCUCUGUGAUCAAGUCUGCCAUCUCCUCUUUCUGGGGACCUGCCCUGGUGCCCAUGGUGCUAUCUCUGCUCUGGGGCUUGCCAGUUUCUGUUUCCUUGGGCAGGGAUGUGGCUGAUGGUGCCUGGCACUUGGCACGGGGAUGCAGGGAGGAGGUCUGUGCCUGCUUCUCCCUGGAGAUCUGGCCCUACUCUGCCGCUUCUGUGCCCUGUAGUGUCCUUCUGCCAUCCUGUCCCACCCAGCUGGGUGUGCUCAGAAGUGGGGACAGAGCCCCCAGCGGUGGCAUAUUUGAUGUGUUUCUUUCCUCCCCUCUGCUCUCCCGUGCCCCAGGGAGUUUGAGCCUUUGCUGAAGCCACACGUGGCUGUGAAGAAGGUCCCGUAUGUGGAUGAGGAGGGGAAUCUGGUAAAGCCGCUAAAACCGAACGGGAUAAAGAUGGAGAAGUUUGUGUUUGAUGUGUUCCGGUUUGCUAAGUUAGUAGUGGAACUCAUUUAUUUUCCCCUUCUUCCUUCCCUCAGUUUUGGUGGUGGGAACUGAGGUCCAGCUGGCAGGGAAGUAGAGGCUUGGGAGAGCCAAGGGCCCUGCGGGCAGGUCUCAGGGAGAAGACCAGAGAGUGCUCUUGGCCCUGAGGGUAAGCAGCCCCCGAGGUGGGGGCAUAGGGAGUCCUUGGGGCUGUGGACUUGGGAGGACAGUAGUGCCACCUCCUGGACCUUCCACUGCCCCCACCCAUGGUUAGGAGAGGUCUCCUGGCCAGGAUGCCAGGGCGGCUCGCAGGGCCUUUGGCCCUCACUGCAGGGGUCCCAGGGUUGGGGCUUUUGGCUGCUGAAAAUGGCUGCUGGAAUUGGGCCAUCCCCGGCAUCUCAGGAGCAAAGACACUCAGUACCUGUGGGGGCUCCUCCCUAGACUUGCUACCCACGGGACCAGACCUUCACUCUGUCACUGGAAACCUGGCCUAGCUCUCACCUGCCCGGAUCAGGGCCUCUGUGCCGGGACAUGGGUGACUAGCCCUUUCCCCACCAGGAACUUUGUUGCCUUUGAAGUGCUACGGGAGGAGGAAUUUUCCCCACUGAAGAAUGCAGAGCCGGCUGACAGGGAUAGUCCCCGCACCUCUCGCCGGGCCCUGCUCACCCAGCACUACUGGUGGGCUCUGCGGGCCGGGGCCCACUUCCUGGAUGCCCAUGGGGCCUGGCUCCCGGAGCUACCCGGCUUGCCCCCAAAUGGAGACCCUCCGGCCAUCUGUGAGAUAUCGCCCUUGGUGUCUUACUCUGGAGAGGUGAGAGCUGCCCAUCCCUAUCUGGGGCUUUUCUGGAGUCAGGUUUGGAAUACCAUCUGGGGAGAGGUGGCUGCUUGGGUGGAGACGGCACAGCUCUACCUCAGUUAACCAAUGGGGUUGGUGGUUUAAAUUUGCAGAAAACUUUCCAAGAUAUGGGAUGGGGUGGGGUGAGGCAUCCAGAGGCCUUUGCAGGUCCUGGGAGGGCAUGGGGAUGAGACAGCCCAGGUCUGAGCCCAGUGUGGGGCCAGUCAGGCCUUGGUGGGGGCCUCGAGGAGGGAGGACACCGGCCUCUGCUAUCUCCCUGACUUUGGCUGCUGUUGCCCCUUUCUCUGGUCAGGUCAGACCUGUGCAUGACAAGAGGGUCCCCUGCUGGCCUAGGGUCUUGAGUGUGGUCUUGGGUGGCCUUGCAGUGUGUGUCUGCUCCUGGCCCUGGAAGCCUUUCUGUCCCCACCCCUCCCUGACUCCAGGCAGACCUGGGAUCGCGCCUGGGGACUGUGGCUCUUGGUGUGGCCAGAGGGGCUGUGGCUGGCCAAAAGGUGGGUGCUUGGCCAUUGUCCCCUGCUCGUCUCCAGGGUUUAGAGGUGUACCUGCAAGGCCGGGAGUUCCAGUCCCCGCUCAUCCUGGAUGAAGACCAGGCCAGGGAGCUGCAGCCGCAGGAGUCCUGACCCCCCGAGACUGCCCCCAGACUCCCCUGAGACCUGCCAGCCCCGGCAUCCUGGAAGUCCCGACUCCCCCCAGACCUGCCAGCCCUGUCGUCCUGGAACUGGGGGCUACGGCCCCAGCCUGAGCUCUGGGUGGGAAAGCAGCCUGCCACGUGCUUCCAGCCUGCAGAACACAGAAUGAAACAUGCUGGUAGACUCCACGAGGGCAGUGCCUCUCCUGUCGCCUCUGGACACAGGUGGCUACAGCCUGCUGAGGGCUCUGUGGCUCCAUUCCUGGCUGUCGGGUCUAGUCAAGAGGCAGAGGGACUUAGGACCUGGGAGAAUGGGGCUGAGAGGAGGCUUUAGGUUGGGACCCAAGGGAGGUGUGGUGUCAUCUGGGGAACAGGAGGGCACGUCCCUUUGGGAGCCCACCCUGUGGAUCCACCGCACCCCACCAAGCACUAGAAGCUGCAUAAGCUACACAGGAUGUGCUUCUGCAGCCUACAGUUGCAGAACCAGAAUGAGGGGGACAAUUCCACCCACUCGAGGGCUGCCGCCUCCUCCUUAGCAGACGAACCAGUAAUGGGGACAAGGCUGGGGCAUCCCAGCCCACACAUCCUGGAUGCCCAGCAAGGCCACAGACAAGGCCUGAUGCCCAUGAUCCAGGUGGCUCUGAGAAGCUUGGCCUGGACACCUGAGCCUGCGGCCAGUACUCCCGCCUUCUCCCCAUCUAUCCCCAAGGCCUCUGCCUGUCCGCCUCUUCCAUGGUCGGUUUAGGCUGCUGAGUUUUCUGUGCUUCCUCAAGAACCAGUGGGAUCAAUGCUGGCGGCCUCUGUGAUGGUUGCUGACUAAUCCGGGAUUUCAUGAGUCAGAGGCACCACCCCUUACCCCAGCUGCCUGCUGCUUCUGACGGAUCUUGGUGCUCAGGCUGCCCGGCUCUCCAAGUAAGGAUGCAGCCUCCAUAUUUGGUGCACUCGGGCAUGGCUGGAACAAGCCAGCUGCCCCGGGGUUCUUCCCCCGGUGAUUCUCGCCUGCUUUCUCAUCUUGGGGGAGGCAGUGGCACCUCCCUCUCCCUGCUGACAUGAAGAGAGCUAUGAUAUGCAACUGCUGCUAACUCAUCCUCCGCCCCCACCUCGGAACCCACGGCCCCCAGUGGAGGGCCACUACUCAUCCCCAUUGGUUUCCCAGGGGAGGGGUGUUGUCUGGAAGGGCAGGUUCGGAUGCGGCUUUGCAGACUUAGAGGCACUGGGAGGACAGUGGCUGAGUGGACGUGACCAGACCUGGGCAGGCAGCAGGCUCAGGCCCACACCUUGUGAUUUUUGAAACCGAAGCCCAGAGGAUGACGUCUGCUUCUCUCCCUGGCUCUGUGCUUCUUAUUGCAAACCAUGCCUGUGCCUUAGGGCCCUUCUCAUAGCUGCUCCUCAUGGCCAUGACUGGAACAGGGAUGCAACCUCUUUCUACACAAGCACAGUUAGUUGGGUGAAGUCUUUUUUUUUUUUUUAGACGGAGUUUCACUCUUGUUGCCCAGGCUGGAGUGAAGUGGCGUGACCUUGGCUCACUGCAACCUCCGCCUCCAGCCUCAGCCUCCCUAGUAGCUGGGACUACAGGCACCCACCACCAUGCCUGGCUAAUUCUUUGUAUUUUUAGUAGAGAUGGGGUUUGACCAUGUUAGCCAGGAUGGUCUCAUUUCCUGACCUCGUGAUCUACCCACCUUGGCCUCCCAAAGUGCUGGGAUUAUAGGUGUGAGCCACCGCACCGGGCCGGUUGCUGGCAUCUUAAUGUUCUGUAGGUGGGACAUUUCCAAUAAACACAAGGUGCUGUGAUUGA
Molecule: small RNA, 4409 nt
Filed under: Pongo abelii (Sumatran orangutan)
Lineage: Eukaryota; Metazoa; Chordata; Mammalia; Primates; Hominidae
Description: retained intron
Source: RNAcentral